CUACGGGGGGCUGCAGUCGAGAAUCUUCCGCAAUGGGCGCAAGCCUGACGGAGCAAUGCCGCGUGAGGGAUGACGGCCCUAGGGUUGUAAACCUCUGUCAGAAGGGACGAAGAACGUGACGGUACCUUCAGAGGAAGCCAUGGCUAACUACGUGCCAGCAGCCGCGGUAAUACGUAGAUGGCGAGCGUUAUUCGGAUUUACUGGGCGUAAAGGGUCCGUAGGGGGGCUGCCAAGUCUGAUGUGAAAUCCUGCGGCUCAACCGCGGAACUGCAUUGGAAACUGGCGGACUAGAGUGUGCGAGGGGUGAGCGGAAUUCCUGGUGUAGCGGUGGAAUGCGUAGAUAUCAGGAAGAACACCGAUGGCGAAGGCGGCUCACUGGCGCAUCACUGACCCUGAGGGACGAAAGCGUGGGUAGCAAACAGGAUUAGAUACCCUAGUAGUC
This 442-nucleotide ribosomal RNA is filed under the name uncultured bacterium. RNAcentral's name for it is "partial 16S ribosomal RNA". It matches the Rfam family "Bacterial small subunit ribosomal RNA", at positions 339 to 795 of the family's 1533-position model. The record is from RNAcentral.